RNAcentral lists this ribosomal RNA (579 nucleotides) under Triticum aestivum (bread wheat). RNAcentral's name for it is "partial small subunit ribosomal RNA". Lineage: Eukaryota; Viridiplantae; Streptophyta; Magnoliopsida; Poales; Poaceae. The record is from RNAcentral.
AUGGACGCACGGAUGAGGCUGAUAAUUCAGGCAGCAGCACUGAUAAAUGUGAUUCAGGCAUGGGUCAUGUUCAUGCACCAGAGAGUUGUUCGUCGUGCUGGGGGACCUUUGAUCUUCUAUGGUCCAAUGUUUGUCCGAGAACAGGAGAGGAUCCAAAAUCUGAACUACAUCUACAACCAUGACGUUGAGACUCUGUGGAUGCUUCGAAUGAAAAGAGCACCAUUUGCCAGGCUUGUCGAGACCUUUAGGAGCAGGGGCCUAUAAGAUAACAUCAACAACACCAGUGUGGAAGAGCAAGUGGCCAUGUUCCUCCAUAUUGUUGGCCAUAACUAGAGGUUCAGGGUCAUUCACAACAUGUUCAGGAGAUCAAUGGAGACCAUCUCUAGUAUCUUCAAGCAUGUGCUUUUUAAUGUUGGGGAGCGAGGAGAAAUGAUGAGGAGACCAUCUGGAUAGACUCCACCCAAGAUCCACGGAAGCUCAAGAUGGUAUCCAUACUUCAAGUUGAGCAUUGACAAUAUACAUGUUUCAUGGCUUGGUAUGCUUGUAUUGUUCAAGUUGAGCACUAACACAUGCUUGUGA